Molecule: long non-coding RNA, 1985 nt
Filed under: Equus caballus (horse)
Lineage: Eukaryota; Metazoa; Chordata; Mammalia; Perissodactyla; Equidae
Description: lncRNA (ENSECAG00000051434.1)
Source: RNAcentral
UUCCUCCGUCCCGGCGCGGGCGCGGCGGCGCGGAGCGCUCUGUCGGGAGUGAGGAGGCGCGGGCGCUGCCCGGGGCCGAGGGGCGCCGAGCCCUGCUCACCGCCGCCUUGAGGGGCCGGGGCACCCCGCCCGGGCCAGCGCGCCUCGAGCCACCGGGGCGACGCUGGGACCGUGGUCAGCAGGGUGCCCUUCCCCGACGGGGACGGAACCCCGACGGCGUCCGGGCCGGAAGGGCGGGCGCCCCGGACCGCGAACCUCCCCGCCGGGCAGUUUAGCAGGAGAGGCCUCCCAGGGCCGUUCACACAGGCCCGCGGUUCGCUUAGCAACUCGCGCAUUUUGGAAAAAGAAGUGUCCCACGCCUCGUCCCAGCGGAGGCGGGGGAGCGCGUGCGCCCUCGCGGGGAGGCCGGGGUGCCCCCCGGCGGCAGCCCCGGACCUGCGGGCCCUGCGACGGCCCCGGGGAGGCUUCGUGUGGCCGCCCCUGCGCGUGCGCGUCACACGGCUCGCGGGUGGCGACCCCCGACGCGCACCGCCCGGGAGACUGUUCUCGCCCUCGAGAGGGAGGACCACGCAGGGCCCUCCGCGUGGAUGCUGCUGUCACGUGUUUGUUGACUCGGGGAGAAUCGGAUGCUGGGCCUGCGAAUGUGUCUCCCUGAGAGGCUCUUUCAGAAAUGCACGGGCGCGGUGCUGAGACACCUGGGAUUGGCUGUCACACGAUGCGCUGAGCGAGGGGACGCACGGGGCCCGCAGCUCGUCGUCCUUGGAGCUGGUGAUGGCCCCACGGCGCUACCCCGUCCUCCUCUUGGACGCAUUUGCGCUUCCCUUUAAAAAGUCUUCAUAACAUUCACACCCAGUUCCGGGGAAAGACUUCGAAAUUUGCUACGGUUCUCCCAGCCGUUAGUCUCGCCCUAUCUUUCUUGAUGCUGAAAAAGUUCUUUAAAAAAACGCAGUCAUCUAGAUCACCCUGCAGAUGAGCUUGGCAUUAAAUUCCCGGGAUCACUAAGCUCUACCCGCUUAGACCCGGGCAGGAGAGGCCCCUGUCCUGGACCCCACGCUUUGAAGGACCUUACAUACCGCAAAUACAUCGAUUUAUUAAAAACACGGGGGCCUCGGCCACUCCUGGUCUGAUGCUGAACCCUGGCCCACAGCCAUAAGUGCCCUCUCCCUGGACCAACACUGUCCCGGCCGCUGGGAAACACUUCUUCAUGUCUCUUGUCCUUUGUCUUCAAAACAAAAGGUGGAACCCGGAAGCAGUGAGGAUCUGUGGGUGGGACAGCUGGCCUGGGCAGACAGAGGCUGCUGUGGAGUCCGGGUGGGAUUUGAGCAGCAAAGCGCUUAAAUAGGGUGAGAGGCAGAGAAGAAGCUCCUAUAAACCUCUCCAGUUUCCUGCUGAUUUCUUCAGGGGGCGGCGUCCUGUGUCAGAGCAGUACUCCUCUGUGCUCAUCUUGCACUUGGCCAAAACAAGGGGUGAAGAAGCUAAGCUCGGUUAAAAGGCAGAAGAGAAACAGGCAGAUCCCUGAAGUCCGCUGUUCUCCUGUUUUCCCCUACCCGAUAGCAGCAUAUUAAAAGCAUAAGCUUCCUGCAAAACUGAAAGAGAAGCCAAAGCUUUGCAGAUGGUACCCAGGCAGAGGGCCAGGAGGUAGAAACAGGCUCAUCAAGCCCCAGAGGGGAGCUAAGUCGCGCCGUCCACACGCUCCAGGUUCAGCGCUGCUGGUGAGGCGCCCCUUCCUUCCUUCUCUCCUGAGAAACCGGGCCUGCCUCCUCCCUGACGGGGCAUCAUUGCUUCCUCCACAACCAGGCGUGCUUGCCCGAGGACUCGCCGACCUCGCUGUCUGUCAGAGAAGCACAAAGACACCUGGUGCAGGUCUGGAAUGAACUUUAUUCAAGGCUGGCAUGCAUUUCGUCACUGCAGAUGACGACGCCUGCUUCCCUGGCAGGGAGGCGGGUUUUGGUGGCCGGAAUCUGCCUCGUGGCAUAGUGGAGGGA